CACUGCCAUUGAAACCGCGACAGCACGACGUGGUCGUCCCGACUGUUGAUAAAUUUGCCACGUCCACUCGUAACGGUCUGCGAACAUCGCUAUUUUUAUUACAUCAUUUUGCUGCAAUUUUUGCAGGUUGGCAGUUAUAUUUCGAUAUUGUCAGAGGAUUAUUAAACGAGACGAUUGCCACUAUAUUAUUAUUGUCAGCACAUAUUAUCACGUUAGUCGCAUAUUAAAUUGUCAGCACAAUAGUAGGUGUAUUUAUAAAAUUAAAAUAAACUCAUUGUGUAUAGAUAUACCUAACGCGCGAACAAGCUAUUCGUUCCUAUACAAUAAU
Molecule: non-coding RNA, 328 nt
Organism: Cinara cedri
Lineage: Eukaryota; Metazoa; Arthropoda; Insecta; Hemiptera; Aphididae
Source: the annotation of a GenBank genome assembly